GUGGGGAAUAUUGGACAAUGGGGGGAACCCUGAUCCAGCCAUGCCGCGUGUGUGAAGAAGGCCUUUUGGUUGUAAAGCACUUUAAGCGAGGAGGAGGCUACCGAGAUUAAUACUCUUGGAUAGUGGACGUUACUCGCAGAAUAAGCACCGGCUAACUCUGUGCCAGCAGCCGCGGUAAUACAGAGGGUGCAAGCGUUAAUCGGAUUUACUGGGCGUAAAGCGCGCGUAGGGGGCCAAUUAAGCCAAAUGUGAAAUCCCCGAGCUUAACUUGGGAAUUGCAUUCGAUACUGGUUGGCUAGAGUAUGGGAGAGGAUGGUAGAAUUCCAGGUGUAGCGGUGAAAUGCGUAGAGAUCUGGAGGAAUACCGAUGGCGAAGGCAGCCAUCUGGCCUAAUACUGACACUGAGGUGCGAAAGCAUGGGGAGCAAACAGGAUUAGAAACCCUUGUAGUCC
RNAcentral lists this ribosomal RNA (451 nucleotides) under uncultured bacterium. RNAcentral describes it as "partial 16S ribosomal RNA". It matches the Rfam family "Bacterial small subunit ribosomal RNA", at positions 354 to 796 of the family's 1533-position model. The record is from RNAcentral.